AGAGUUUGAUCCUGGCUCAGAACGAACGCUGGCGGCGCGCCUAAUACAUGCAAGUCGAGCGAGAAGGUGUAGCAAUACACUUGUAAAGCGGCGAACGGGUGAGGAAUGCAUGGGUAACCUACCCUCGAGUGGGGAAUAACUAGCCGAAAGGUUAGCUAAUACCGCAUACGUUUCCGGAACUUCGGUUUCGGAAAGAAAGCAAUACCGUGGGUAUUGCGCUCCUGGAUGGGCUCAUGUCCUAUCAGCUUGUUGGUGAGGUAACGGCUCACCCAAGGCUUCGACGGGUAGCUGGUCUGAGAGGACGAUCAGCCACACUGGCACUGCGACACGGGCCAGACUCCUACGGGAGGCAGCAGUAAGGAAUAUUGCGCAAUGGACGAAAGUCUGACGCAGCGACGCCGCGUGGGGGAUGAAGGUCUUCGGAUUGUAAACCCCUUUCGGGAGGGAAGAUGGAGUGGGUAACCACUUGGACGGUACCUCCAGAAGCAGCCACGGCUAACUUCGUG
This 506-nucleotide ribosomal RNA is filed under the name uncultured bacterium. RNAcentral's name for it is "bacterial SSU rRNA". It matches the Rfam family "Bacterial small subunit ribosomal RNA", at positions 8 to 507 of the family's 1533-position model. The record is from RNAcentral.